This 1490-nucleotide ribosomal RNA is filed under the name uncultured prokaryote. RNAcentral's name for it is "partial 16S ribosomal RNA". It matches the Rfam family "Bacterial small subunit ribosomal RNA". The record is from RNAcentral.
ACGCUGGCGGCGUGGAUAAGGCAUGCAAGUCGAACGAUGCAUUUCGGUGCAUAGUGGCAGAAGGGUUAGUAACGCGUGGGUAAUCUACCCUCGGGUUUGGGAUAACCUCGCGAAAGCGAGGCUAAUACCAAAUAACAUUUUGGUCUCGCAUGGGACUAAAAUCAAAGAUGGCUCGCAAGGGCUGUCACCUGAAGAUGAGCUCGCGUCCUAUCAGCUAGUUGGUGAGGUAAUGGCUCACCAAGGCUUUUGACGGGUAGCUGGUCUAAGAGGAUGGUCAGCAACACUGGGACUGAGACACUGCCCAGACUCCUACGGGAGGCUGCAGUCGAGGAUCUUUACCAAUGCCCGAAAGGGUGAGUAUGCGACGCCGCGUGUAGGACGAAGGCCUUCGGGUCGUAAACUACUGUCAGAGGUGAGGAAAGCUUAUGCGCUAAUAUCGCAUUUAUUUGACGAAGGCUCCAAAGGAAGCCACGGCUAACUCUGUGCCAGCAGCCGCGGUAAUACAGAGGUGGCAAGCGUUGUUCGGAUUUAUUGGGUGUAAAGGGCAGGUAGGCGGUCAUGUAAGUCUGUUGUGAAAUCCCAGGGCUCAACCCUGGAACUGCAAUGGAAACUACAUGACUUGAGUAUCGGAGAGGUGAGGGGAAUUCUCGGUGUAAGGGUGAAAUCUGUAGAUAUCGAGAGGAAUACCAGUGGCGAAGGCGCCUCACUGGCCGAUAACUGACGCUGAACUGCGAAAGGUAGGGGAGCAAACAGGAUUAGAUACCCUGGUAGUCCUACCUGUAAACGAUGUGGAUUAGGUGUUGGGGGAGUCGAUCCUUCCAGUGCCGACGAUAACUCAUUAAAUCCACCACCUGGGGAGUACGGUCGCAAGACUGAAACUCAAAGGAAUUGACGGGGACCCGCACAAGCGGUGGAGCAUGUGGUUUAAUUCGAGGCUACGCGAGGAACCUUACCUGGGCUUGACAUGUAUUCAGUAACCCUGGUGAAAGUCGGGGAGACCGUAUCCAAUCGGAGUCUAUUACAGGUGCUGCAUGGCUGUCGUCAGCUCGUGCUGUGAAGUGUUGGGUUAAGUCCCGCAACGAGCGCAACCAUUGCCCUUAGUUGCCAUCAGGUUAUGCUGGGAACCCUAAGGGGACUGCCGGUGAUAAACCGGAGGGAGGUGGAGAUGACGUCAAGUCAGCAUGGCCCUUACGUCCAGGGCUACACACGUGCUACAAUGGCCGGUACAGAGGGCAGCGAACCCGCGAGGGGGAGCAAAUCUCAAAAAGCCGGCCUCAGUUCGGAUUGUAGGCUGCAACUCGCCUGCAUGAAGUUGGAAUCGCUAGUAAUGGCGUAUCAGACAUGACGCCGUGAAUACGUUCCCGGGUCUUGUACACACCGCCCGUCAAGCCACCUGAAUCGGUGGCACCCAAAAUCGUUGAUCCAACCCUCACGGGAGGAAGGCGCUUAAGGUGAAACUGGUGAGGAGGGCUAAGUCGUAACAAGGUAAC